This 115-nucleotide ribosomal RNA is filed under the name Zameus squamulosus (velvet dogfish). RNAcentral's name for it is "partial 16S rRNA". The record is from RNAcentral. Lineage: Eukaryota; Metazoa; Chordata; Chondrichthyes; Squaliformes; Somniosidae.
ACAUUAAAGCUAGCCUAAUCAAUUAUAUAAACAUAACCCUAUCAAUUACACUUACACCACCAUUAUUAGAUUUAAAACAUUUUAUACUCUUUAGUAUGGGUGACAGAACAACAAA